Long non-coding RNA from Bos indicus x Bos taurus (hybrid cattle), 520 nucleotides. The record is from Ensembl. Lineage: Eukaryota; Metazoa; Chordata; Mammalia; Artiodactyla; Bovidae.
AAAUUGAACCUAACUGAAUACACAAGUUUAAAUGGAAAGAGAUUUUUUUAUUGCUUUUCUGUACUUAUGCACUGGCUUCCCAACUAGAAAAACUUCUCUUCAGUCUGAUUAUGUCUGAAAACAAUAGUUUUAGAGGUUUAAUCCCUAUUUUGGAGUCCAAGCAAGUAGUAAAUUGUUUAUAUAUAAGGCCCAGAUGGAAAUCACUGGCAUCAGGAAGAACUGAAAUCCCCAGCUGAGAUAAAGCAGAAGACUUCCAGGCAGAAGAAAUCAGAAUCGGACCUACUAGUGCUGCCAUCUGUUCCUCUGCACUCUUAGAGUUUGUGGCUCCCAUCAGACCCGGGGAAUUGUCCAGCUGUGAGUUUCUGUUUUACUGGGAUUGAAUUCCAUCAAUGUCCCUGACUUCCAGGCUUUGACCAUCAUCCUAUGAUGGUUGCCUCUAUCAGACAUCUCUGUUCUUUGCUUUAUAAUAUGUAUUUAUUAACAAUAAUAAAGUUAAUUCAACUGAGUCUAACUAUGAUCA